CAGCAGCCACGGUAAUACGAAGGGGGCUAGCGUUGUUCGGAUUUACUGGGCGUAAAGGGCGCGUAGGCGGGCGAAUAAGUCAGGGGUGAGAUCCCGAGGCUCAACCUUGGAACUGCCUUUGAUACUGUUUGUCUUGAGUUCGAGAGAGGUAAGUGGAACUGCGAGUGUAGAGGUGAAAUUCGUAGAUACUCGCAAGAACACCAGUGGCGAAGGCGGCUUACUGGCUCGAAACUGACGCUGAGGCGCGAAAGCGUGGGGAGCAAACAGGAUUAGAGACCCCCGUAGUCCCUGUCUCUUAUAC
RNAcentral lists this ribosomal RNA (301 nucleotides) under uncultured bacterium. RNAcentral describes it as "partial 16S ribosomal RNA". It matches the Rfam family "Bacterial small subunit ribosomal RNA", at positions 509 to 807 of the family's 1533-position model. The record is from RNAcentral.